UGGUGAAGAUCCAAGGCUUCACUGCCAAUAAAGAUUUGCACAAUUAUUCUAGGAAAAGAAACUGCAGUUUCCCAAGCAUCAUUUUAUUCUAACAAGCAGCAAUUCACACUUAGCUAAAGUAACGCAGUCGUGCUCAGAAACAAGCAA
This is a long non-coding RNA of Zingiber officinale, 147 nucleotides long. RefSeq lists it as uncharacterized. The record is from RefSeq and is a predicted model, not a curated record. NCBI's taxonomy places the organism in Eukaryota, Viridiplantae, Streptophyta, Magnoliopsida, Zingiberales, Zingiberaceae. The transcript is spliced from 2 exons.